This 2200-nucleotide ribosomal RNA is filed under the name Salmonella enterica. Its description in RNAcentral is "partial 23S ribosomal RNA". It matches the Rfam family "Bacterial large subunit ribosomal RNA", at positions 711 to 2807 of the family's 2925-position model. Lineage: Bacteria; Pseudomonadati; Pseudomonadota; Gammaproteobacteria; Enterobacterales; Enterobacteriaceae. The record is from RNAcentral.
AGACCCGAAACCCGGUGAUCUAGCCAUGGGCAGGUUGAAGGUUGGGUAACACUAACUGGAGGACCGAACCGACUAAUGUUGAAAAAUUAGCGGAUGACCUGUGGCUGGGGGUGAAAGGCCAAUCAAACCGGGAGAUAGCUGGUUCUCCCCGAAAGCUAUUUAGGUAGCGCCUCGUGAAUUCAUCUCCGGGGGUAGAGCACUGUUUCGGCUAGGGGGCCAUCCCGGCUUACCAACCCGAUGCAAACUGCGAAUACCGGAGAAUGUUAUCACGGGAGACACACGGCGGGUGCUAACGUCCGUCGUGAAGAGGGAAACAACCCAGACCGCCAGCUAAGGUCCCAAAGUCAUGGUUAAGUGGGAAACGAUGUGGGAAGGCCCAGACAGCCAGGAUGUUGGCUUAGAAGCAGCCAUCAUUUAAAGAAAGCGUAAUAGCUCACUGGUCGAGUCGGCCUGCGCGGAAGAUGUAACGGGGCUAAACCAUGCACCGAAGCUGCGGCAGCGAACGUAUCACCCAAGACAACUUUACGGAGUUGACGAUUGACGGAGCGAAGCGACGUCAAAGCGUUCAUUAAAGUCGAGUUGGCUUAGGGAUACGUUCGUUGGGUAGGGGAGCGUUCUGUAAGCCCGUGAAGGUGGCCUGUGAGGGUUGCUGGAGGUAUCAGAAGUGCGAAUGCUGACAUAAGUAACGAUAAAGCGGGUGAAAAGCCCGCUCGCCGGAAGACCAAGGGUUCCUGUCCAACGUUAAUCGGGGCAGGGUGAGUCGACCCCUAAGGCGAGGCCGAAAGGCGUAGUCGAUGGGAAACGGGUUAAUAUUCCCGUACUUGGUGUUACUGCGAAGGGGGGACGGAGAAGGCUAUGUUGGCCGGGCGACGGUUGUCCCGGUUUAAGCGUGUAGGUGUGUGUUCCAGGUAAAUCCGGUUCACUUUAACACUGAGGCGUGACGACGAGGCACUACGGUGCUGAAGCAACAAAUGCCCUGCUUCCAGGAAAAGCCUCUAAGCAUCAGGUAACACGAAAUCGUACCCCAAACCGACACAGGUGGUCAGGUAGAGAAUACCAAGGCGCUUGAGAGAACUCGGGUGAAGGAACUAGGCAAAAUGGUGCCGUAACUUCGGGAGAAGGCACGCUGACACGUAGGUGAAGUGAUUUACUCAUGGAGCUGAAGUCAGUCGAAGAUACCAGCUGGCUGCAACUGUUUAUUAAAAACACAGCACUGUGCAAACACGAAAGUGGACGUAUACGGUGUGACGCCUGCCCGGUGCCGGAAGGUUAAUUGAUGGGGUCAGCGUAAGCGAAGCUCCUGAUCGAAGCCCCGGUAAACGGCGGCCGUAACUAUAACGGUCCUAAGGUAGCGAAAUUCCUUGUCGGGUAAGUUCCGACCUGCACGAAUGGCGUAAUGAUGGCCAGGCUGUCUCCACCCGAGACUCAGUGAAAUUGAACUCGCUGUGAAGAUGCAGUGUACCCGCGGCAAGACGGAAAGACCCCGUGAACCUUUACUAUAGCUUGACACUGAACAUUGAGCCUUGAUGUGUAGGAUAGGUGGGAGGCUUUGAAGUGUGGACGCCAGUCUGCAUGGAGCCGACCUUGAAAUACCACCCUUUAAUGUUUGAUGUUCUAACGUGGACCCGUAAUCCGGGUUGCGGACAGUGUCUGGUGGGUAGUUUGACUGGGGCGGUCUCCUCCUAAAGAGUAACGGAGGAGCACGAAGGUUGGCUAAUCCUGGUCGGACAUCAGGAGGUUAGUGCAAUGGCAUAAGCCAGCUUGACUGCGAGCGUGACGGCGCGAGCAGGUGCGAAAGCAGGUCAUAGUGAUCCGGUGGUUCUGAAUGGAAGGGCCAUCGCUCAACGGAUAAAAGGUACUCCGGGGAUAACAGGCUGAUACCGCCCAAGAGUUCAUAUCGACGGCGGUGUUUGGCACCUCGAUGUCGGCUCAUCACAUCCUGGGGCUGAAGUAGGUCCCAAGGGUAUGGCUGUUCGCCAUUUAAAGUGGUACGCGAGCUGGGUUUAGAACGUCGUGAGACAGUUCGGUCCCUAUCUGCCGUGGGCGCUGGAGAACUGAGGGGGGCUGCUCCUAGUACGAGAGGACCGGAGUGGACGCAUCACUGGUGUUCGGGUUGUCAUGCCAAUGGCACUGCCCGGUAGCUAAAUGCGGAAGAGAUAAGUGCUGAAAGCAUCUAAGCACGAAACUUGCCCCGAGAUGA